CAGGCCUAACACAUGCAAGUCGAACGCAUCCUUCGGGAUGAGUGGCAGACGGGUGAGUAACACGUGGGAACGUACCCUUUGGUUCGGAACAACUCUGGGAAACUGGAGCUAAUACCGGAUACGCCCUUUUGGGGAAAGGCUUGCUGCCGAAGGAUCGGCCCGCGUCUGAUUAGCUAGUUGGUGGGGUAACGGCCUACCAAGGCGACGAUCAGUAGCUGGUCUGAGAGGAUGAUCAGCCACAUUGGGACUGAGACACGGCCCAAACUCCUACGGGAGGCAGCAGUGGGGAAUACUGGACAAUGGGCGCAAGCCUGAUCCAGCCAUGCCGCGUGAGUGAUGAAGGCCUUAGGGUUGUAAAGUUCUUUUGUCCGGGACGAUAAUGACGGUACCGGAAGAAUAAGCCCCGGCUAACUUCGUGCCAGCAGCCGCGGUAAUAC
This 437-nucleotide ribosomal RNA is filed under the name uncultured Methylobacteriaceae bacterium. RNAcentral describes it as "bacterial SSU rRNA". It matches the Rfam family "Bacterial small subunit ribosomal RNA", at positions 43 to 526 of the family's 1533-position model. The record is from RNAcentral. Lineage: Bacteria; Pseudomonadati; Pseudomonadota; Alphaproteobacteria; Hyphomicrobiales; Methylobacteriaceae.